AGAUACCCUAUUAUUUUAAGCUAUAUAUUGGUAGUAAUUAAUAAUUUAUGAAAUCAUAAGAUUUUGGCGGUAUUUUAAGCUUAUUAGAGGAAUUUGCUCUGUAAUGGAUACAACGCCUUAAUCUUACUUAAUUUGGUUUUAAAGUCAGUUUGUAUACCACUAUAUUUAAUUAUAUUGAAUAAUUAUAUUUAAGAUUUUUUUUUUAUAAAAAAUAUAUUAAGUCAAGGUGCAAUUUAUAAUUAUGAAUGAAGUGAAUUACAUUAAUUUUAAUUUUACUUAAAUAUUGAAAAAAAAUUAUAGGAUUUAAUAGUAAAAUGUUAA
This 321-nucleotide ribosomal RNA is filed under the name Ixodes affinis. Its description in RNAcentral is "partial 12S ribosomal RNA". The record is from RNAcentral. Lineage: Eukaryota; Metazoa; Arthropoda; Arachnida; Ixodida; Ixodidae.